GCCCUUGGAACCUUACCAGGUCUUGACAUCCCGCUGCCCGGUAUAGAGAUAUACCUUUCCCUUCGGGGACAGCGGUGACAGGUGGUGCAUGGUUGUCGUCAGCUCGUGUCGUGAGAUGUUGGGUUAAGUCCCGCAACGAGCGCAACCCUUGAUCUUAGUUGCCAGCAUUCAGUUGGGCACUCUAAGGUGACUGCCGGUGACAAACCGGAGGAAGGUGGGGAUGACGUCAAAUCAUCAUGCCCCUUAUGACCUGGGCUACACACGUGCUACAAUGGAUGGUACAAAGGGCUGCAAGACCGCGAGGUUUAGCCAAUCCCAUAAAACCAUUCUCAGUUCGGAUUGUAGGCUGCAACUCGCCUACAUGAAGCUGGAAUCGCUAGUAAUCGCGGAUCAGCAUGCCGCGGUGAAUACGUUCCCGGGCCUUGCACUCACCGCCCGU
This 439-nucleotide ribosomal RNA is filed under the name uncultured bacterium. Its description in RNAcentral is "bacterial SSU rRNA". It matches the Rfam family "Bacterial small subunit ribosomal RNA", at positions 959 to 1397 of the family's 1533-position model. The record is from RNAcentral.